This 2983-nucleotide long non-coding RNA is filed under the name Zea mays. Its description in RNAcentral is "long non-coding RNA (ZMAY_LNC000804)". Lineage: Eukaryota; Viridiplantae; Streptophyta; Magnoliopsida; Poales; Poaceae. The record is from RNAcentral.
UGCAGCCCCGACGUCUCCACGUCUCACUUUGCCGGGUCUGCACAGCCUCUUCGCGCCAUGCGAACAGCAGCAACAACUAAGUUAUUUUUGGUAAGUUGAUUUGUUGUUUUGGGUAAAGUUAAUAAAUAAAUAGAGGUAUGGUGAUCGUGAUGAUUCUCGAGCAAUAAGUGAUGAUUUAAUAGUAUCGUUUAGUAUUCGGUAGUUGUAGAUUAUAUAAAGGGUGCUCGAAGACUGUAUUUGUCGAAUAUGGUUAACUAGAUGCUAUGCACAUAAUAAUUGGUAACGAUGAUUUGGUGUAGAACGUUAAGGAGAUGAUCGCCUCUAUGGUUAAAAUGUUUGGUGGUAGGUCAUAAUUGGUUGUGUUAGCAACGUGGAAUUAUGGUAGGCAUCGUCAGUAUCCAUGAUGUAUUAGAUUAAGCGUUGUUAUACGAUAAAACUAAAAACUUGAAUGUCAUAUGUUGUGUUCCAAUUGAGUUAGCCCGUAGAUUUAAUAUGUGUCGUUCGCAAUGAAUUAUUAGUAGGGCCUAAAUGGUGAGUUAUGUGUGAACUGUGUUAGAGCCCUUCCGAGAUAAAUAGAUUUAACCUAUGCUAUGUUGUCAUGCAAAUAACCUAGAAAGGUGGUAUAUGUUAAUAAUUGGAAGGACAGUCGUUCAAAUUGGUCAGUCCAAUUAAGAAUGAUUUUGCGUGUGAGGUGAGGUGGUGACAUGCCAAAGUAGUCAUCGCUUCCCUAUGUUUAUAAGUUGAGUCAAUACCCAUUAGGCGUUCAUUAAAUUUCACGUCGCACAUAGUGUAUGGUUGUAUUCGUGACAAGGAGGUAUAGGUUUUACUCAAUUAGAAGUUUGGUUGAUGUGGCUAGGAAAUUUGUUUCGGUUUGGGUAAUGAAGUGGUGACGUGACCAAGUAGUUCCCCCCCGGUUAUGAGUCGAGUCUAGAUGUGUUAUGCCUUCGCCGUGAUACCCAUCGCAUAUACUAAUUGGAUGUAUAUAAAAAAAAUGAAAUAGGUGCAUCAUAUGAUUUAGUGGUACUGGGAUUGUGAUCUAAGUGCAUUAUAUAUGUGUGAUGAGUGUUGGGCUUGAGGAUUGUCAUUCGGGCGAAGAAGGUGUAAUAUACUUAUAUGCGUAGUAUGAUUAAGCUAGUAAUACAAAAUGACAUGAAUAAAAAUUAGUAAGUCUACUUGUUAGUCCUCAUUUAAUUAAUUUAACUCUAAGAAAUGGUAAAGUGCUAGAAUGAUUCAAGUCUCUAGAAUGCUGCAAUUCUUGAAUUAUAUAGAAACUGGGAUUUAUUGAUUGCUGUUUUGGGCUGCACGCACUGUUUUCGUUGUGCUGUUGGUUUGAUAAACAAAAUCAUGUUUUCUGUAGAAAAGUCAUAUAGAAGAGUUGUAGAUAACAUGAUUAUCUUGCUUGUACUGAAAUUUGACAGCCAUAAACCUGAUUGUUUAGGAGUUGUGCUUUUCACAAGCCCAGCACCUGAAUCUGUCGAAUUUCUGAACAGAUUUCAGAGAUUACAAUGGUUGCUUAAGUUAAUCUUGAAAUUAGUUAUUGGUGGUCACAAGAAAGUUGUAGAUAACUUCAUUAUCUUACUUGUGUUAAAAUUUGACAGCCACAGGUCUGACAGUUUAGGAGUUAGGAUUUUUACAAAUUCAGUAACUAAAUCUGUCCAAAUUCUGUACAGAUUUCAGAAACUGCAUUGUUUGCCUAAUUUAAUGUUACAAUCUGUUCAUGGUCAUUAUAAGAAAGUUGUAGAUGCUUUUCUAAUCUUGCUUGUGUUAAAAUUUCAUAAACACAGGCCUGAUAGUUUAAGAGUUAUGAAUUUUACAAACUGCUUGCUGUGUUCUGUCCACCGUCAGAACAGAUUUCGAAAACUGUGUUGUUUGAUUUAGUUAAACAUUGAAUCACUUCUUAGUGAUUAUAAAAGUUAUGUAGUGUUUUUGCUGAGCUUUUCAAAAAGUCUUGGAUCACUCUUUUUGGUGGUCUGAAGAUUAAGUUAUGGAUGUUUGAAGUCUGAAGACUGAAUCUGUCCAAUUCUGGACAGCAAAGCCUUCUAGUGUAUUUUAUCCUUAGUUAACUAUUGAGUCACCUUAAGAUGUUUAUAAGUGAUAUGUAGACACUUUUAUUACCUUUCCAGAAAGUCUAGGAUCACCUUGUUUGGAUGCCUGAAUCUUCAGUUAUGAAUUUUUAAAGUCAUAAGUCUGAAUCUGUCCAAAUCUGGACAGCGCUGUUGUGUUAACACCUUUUGACCUUGCUAAGUGUUUAAUCGUGCUGUGAUGACAAUACCAAUGUUGUAGAGAACUUUUUAAGCUUUCCAGAAAGUCCUAGCUUGCUAUUUUUGGAUUAAUCUUUGAAAAGUUAUGAUUAAAACAAGUGACUGCUGUACUGCUGUCCUAAAAAUCUGCAUGUGCUCAAUUGAUUGUUAGUUCACCCUUUUUGGCUAAAAAUGGUUGGUUAGCACUAAAUUCAUAUAGAAUAACCAUGGUUAAGCUAGAGAUGAUAUGUGUGUCUUGUUUUAUAUGUUUCUUCUUUAGUUGAUUGUGAUAUAGAAUUUCCAUAGCCAUUGAUGCCUAUGUCAUCGGUUAAACUGGUGUUGGAUGCUUUUGUGUGAUAAAUAGAAGAACUAAUGAAAAGCCGUAGCAAAUUAAAUAAACGCUUGUACUUAUGGGGUCGUAUUUGUGUUGCGUAAGUGUACAAAAUGUUUGUCGUCUUUUAGUGGUGUUAACGUUGUGCGCUCGAUGAUAGGUAGUUAGCUAACGCUAGUGUGUGUGGUUGCUUGGGAUGUCUCGCUACUUGGUGUUUAAUUCACUAGCAGGUACUUGAAAUAUCUUGUGCUAUUCCAUUAUAUUCAUACAUAUGCAUCUUGCACCUCAUAUAGGACCGAGAGAUGAUGGUCGAGCCAGUGAUGUGGUGCCAACCACAAGACGCAGUUGGUGGACGGCCUGAAGAAUGGACUUAACCAGUGGAUGCUCGCCAAGCGAGUACCCUCCCCCAACA